AGUCAGUAUUUCCAUAUUUGAGUCACUGGAUCUUAGUAUUUCCCAAAUACUUAAGGAUUGUCUAUACAAUCUUCCAGUGGUUUUUACUUAGAUCAGACUGAUAUCUGCUCACUACCAUUAGUGAGCAUACCAUAUCUGAUCUUAAACAUGGACAAAUUAGAUGACACCCAAACCUUUUUUCCUUGCAAUGCUGGAAUGCCAUUUUCGAUUAAGAGAAAUUCAUCCACAUACAACACAAGGAAUAACACUACAGAACAUUUUGCCCACUUGUAAAUGCAGGGUUCCUCUUUAUUCAUAACAAAGACAUAUGUUCAAAACGUAUGUUCUAACUCUGGGAUAAUAGCGAAACGAGCUUUAUAGGUCUCCACCUUCCCAUCUG
This 379-nucleotide long non-coding RNA is filed under the name Elaeis guineensis (African oil palm). RNAcentral's name for it is "long non-coding RNA (EGUI_LNC070564)". Lineage: Eukaryota; Viridiplantae; Streptophyta; Magnoliopsida; Arecales; Arecaceae. The record is from RNAcentral.